Molecule: long non-coding RNA, 2186 nt
Organism: Chinchilla lanigera (long-tailed chinchilla)
Lineage: Eukaryota; Metazoa; Chordata; Mammalia; Rodentia; Chinchillidae
Exons: 3
Source: RefSeq, a predicted model, not a curated record
AUUUCCUUUUACUUUUCCUACCACUAAGAAAUAUGAGACUGCCACUGUUUUUGCUUGUUUCAUUCAAUUCUUUGUUGGUGACAGAAAAGAACCUAGAAAUUAGCUCUAAGUGGAGACUCCAGCACCCCAGAAUCCAGUAACAAUAGCACAUGACCAGUUAAUGACACAGUCUGAUACAUGUUGUUCUGUUUCAGGGGGAGGAGCAGCUGUGGUGUUAUCCAAGAAUGUGUUUCUCAAUUUGUCCCCACCUACUAUUUAGUUAGUGCAAUUUCUCCCUUGUACCUUGCCCUAGGCUCUUAUCUCCUGUUUAUGUAACAUCCCUUCAAGUUUUUGUACUUUUGCAUUGUUGUCCUGAGUAUGUUCUCGGGGUAUCCAGAUUGAACUGAUAAGUCGUAUCUGCUGUCUUUUUUCUUUAUCCCAGAAAAGUGGCCGUGUCAUGAGGGGUGGGGAGCCAGAGAAAGCUUCUGAGUAAGGCGAAUGGACCUACUUAGAAUGACCACUCUGGCUUUAGUGUGGAAAAUAAAUUGAAUGGAGGUGUUGCAGCGACCUGGCCAGUCAGGGCUGCUCAAUAGUCCAGAUGGAAUAUGAGAUCUGAGCAAAGGCUGUGGCUCGUUCGGGAGGAAGGUUGUCAGAGGCCACCCUGGAGCUGGCAGAGAGAGGAGAACCAGUCUUGUAAAGACCCUGGGAAUGUGUUGCCUGGAUGGAAUGCUGCUGGUAACAGCCAGAAGGAGGAAGAAGGAGGAGAGGAAGAGAAGGAAAAGAGCUUGAAGAGACGUGACAGGAGGAGGAGACAAGACCAAGCCCAAGCACAUCCAUUCUUUCUGCCUCUCUCUCCUCUGCCUCCUGCUCAGUGUUUCUCAGUGUUAGGGCAGUUGCCUGCCUCUCAGAGUCACUUGGGCCCAGCUGAUGUACUUCUGAGUCUAUCCCUUGCUCAUUCCACGUACCCAACCCAAAAGAGAAGGGCACUCACUCUCUGCUGGGAUAAAAGCCUUCCUCUCCAGGGCCAGCCCUGUAUGCCCUGGGCAGCAAAGACCAUAUCCCAGUCACCUGCUUCUACUUAGCUCCUCUGCCCUCUUGUCAUAUGACCUGGUUUUGAGGCCUUUGUAGCCCAGUCCCCAUCUCUUGACCCAGAGCAUACCCCAGCAAGUCAGAGAGGCUCCUGAGCUCUGGGUGGGUCUGGUGAUAUACAGCAGGGUAGGACAGCGCACUUCUCUGCUGUGGUUGCUAGGCCUCUGUUAAUGCAACCUGCUUUUAUGUGUGCGUAUUCAGCAGCCACCACGUUGGCUUAGGUAGAGCUUGCGCUCAGCUUGAAGUCCGAGUUCCUUCUUUAUUACAUUAUUGUUAAUAAAGCAAUUCUCCAAUAUCCUAUGCUUGGAGAAUCUUUUAAAGAAACCACAUGAAAGAACUGAUACUUUGCCCACUUUGUAGAUUUGCACUGUGAUGAUCAGAUUGCUUUCCUGGCUUCUUGUCAUGGGUGAACUUGAUAUAUGUACCUCAUGUCUUUAACUUAUUGAUAAGAUGUUAUCAUGAACUUGGCCCAAGACAGAACUCCCUCUUCCAGGCCUUGGUCCAUAAUCAGAGCCAUAGUUUGAUCAGCUUGCUACAAAUAUGUGAAGCAAUAUCACCUUUUAAAAUCUGGUCAUGCAUUAGUAGACACCUACAGAGCUGAAAUCAGAUACUCAAACAAACGGUCUUACAGGAACGUUCUUAUUACAGGAAUGUUCAUUGCAGCAUUACUGACAAUAGUCAAAAGGUGGAUGUAACCCAAGUGUUCAUUAACGGAUGAGUGGAUAAAUAAAAUAUGUGGUGUGCAUAAAAUGAAAUAUUAAUCAUAAAGAGGAAUAAAGUUAUGAUACACGCUAUGAUGUGGGGGUCCUCAAAAGCAUGAUGCUAAGUGAAAGAAGCCAGAAACAAAAGAUCACAUAUAAUGUGAUUUCAUUUAAAAGAAAUAUCUAGAAUAAAUAAAUCCAUAGAGACAGAAAGCAGACUGGUAGUUGCCGGGGGCUGAGGGUGUGACUGUUAAUUGGGUACAGUAUUCUCUUUCGUGACAGUGAAAAUGUUUUGGAACUAGAUACAGGUGAUGGUUGCACAACACUAUACAUGCAAUAAAUGCUGCUGAAUUGUGUAUUAUAAAACAGUUAAUUUUAUGUUGUGUGCAUUUUAUAUCAAUAAAAAUAUAUUUGCAA